AUACGGAGGAUCCGAGCGUUAUCCGGAUUUAUUGGGUUUAAAGGGUGCGCAGGCGGGAGAUUAAGUCGGCGGUGAAAUUUUGCAGCUCAACUGUAAAAGUGCCUUCGAAACUGGUUUCCUUGAGUGUAGAUGAAGUAGGCGGAAUUUGUGGUGUAGCGGUGAAAUGCAUAGAUAUCACGAGGAACUCCGAUUGCGCAGGCAGCUUACUAAACUACUACUGACGCUCAGGCACGAAGGCGUGGGGAUCAAACAGGAUUAGAUACCCUGGUAGUCCACGCAGUAAACGAUGAUUACUAGCUGUUUGCGAUACAAUGUAAGCGGCUGAGCGAAAGCGUUAAGUAAUCCACCUGGGGAGUACGUUCGCAAGAUUGAAACUCAAAUGAAUUGACGGGG
RNAcentral lists this ribosomal RNA (393 nucleotides) under uncultured bacterium. Its description in RNAcentral is "partial 16S ribosomal RNA". It matches the Rfam family "Bacterial small subunit ribosomal RNA", at positions 523 to 918 of the family's 1533-position model. The record is from RNAcentral.